This 469-nucleotide ribosomal RNA is filed under the name uncultured beta proteobacterium. RNAcentral's name for it is "bacterial SSU rRNA". It matches the Rfam family "Bacterial small subunit ribosomal RNA", at positions 196 to 645 of the family's 1533-position model. The record is from RNAcentral. Lineage: Bacteria; Pseudomonadati; Pseudomonadota; Betaproteobacteria.
UGGAGGAAAAGUAGGGGAUCGCAAGACCUUGCGCUUUUGGAGCGGCCGAUGUCUGAUUAGCUAGUUGGUGAGGUAAAGGCUUACCAAGGCGUCGAUCAGUAGCUGGUCUGAGAGGACGACCAGCCACACUGGGACUGAGACACGGCCCAGACUCCUACGGGAGGCAGCAGUGGGGAAUUUUGGACAAUGGGGGAAACCCUGAUCCAGCCAUGCCGCGUGAGUGAAGAAGGCCUUCGGGUUGUAAAGCUCUUUCAGCCGGAACGAAACGGUCACGGCUAAUACCCGUGACAACUGACGGUACCGGAAGAAGAAGCACCGGCUAACUACGUGCCAGCAGCCGCGGUAAUACGUAGGGUGCGAGCGUUAAUCGGAAUUACUGGGCGUAAAGCGUGCGCAGGCGGUUUUGUAAGUCAGAUGUGAAAUCCCCGGGCUUAACCUGGGAACUGCGUUUGAAACUACCAAAGCUAGA